Molecule: ribosomal RNA, 492 nt
Filed under: uncultured bacterium
Lineage: Bacteria
Description: partial 16S ribosomal RNA
Rfam family: Bacterial small subunit ribosomal RNA
Source: RNAcentral
GAUGAACGCUAGCUACAGGCUUAACACAUGCAAGUCGAGGGGCAGCGGUAUCGAAAGCUUGCUUUCGGUAGCCGGCGACCGGCGCACGGGUGAGUAACGCGUAUCGAACCUGCCUCAUACUCGGGAAUAGCCUUGCGAAAGUAAGAUUAAUGCCCGGUGUUUUCAGAGUCCCGCAUGAGGCUUUGAACAAAGAUUUAUCGGUAUGAGAUGGCGAUGCGUCCCAUUAGCUUGUUGGCGGGGUAACGGCCCACCAAGGCAUCGAUGGGUAGGGGUUCUGAGAGGAAGGUCCCCCACAUUGGAACUGAGACACGGUCCAAACUCCUACAGGAGGCAGCAGUGAGGAAUAUUGGUCAAUGGGCGGAAGCCUGAACCAGCCAAGUAGCGUGCAGGAAGACGGCCCUCCGGGUUGUAAACUGCUUUUAGUUGGGAAUAAAACGGGGCUCGUGAGCCCCCUUGCAUGUACCAUCAGAAAAAGGACCGGCUAAUUCCGUG